Molecule: long non-coding RNA, 429 nt
Organism: Neopelma chrysocephalum (saffron-crested tyrant-manakin)
Lineage: Eukaryota; Metazoa; Chordata; Aves; Passeriformes; Pipridae
Exons: 4
Source: RefSeq, a predicted model, not a curated record
UAGAAAAGACCUGCUGUUUAAAUGAACAUAUCUCACAUCGAGGAGAACAGGCUGGAGGGCUGGAUGAGCAUCUCUGAUAGCUGAUCUUAGGGUCUAAUUAGACUUCUUCAGGGGGCAGUGAUGAAGAGUAGCCUUCCUGCUCAAACUGCGAGUACUGUGGGCAGGCGUGAAGGGAGGGAGGCAAGCAAGCCAGGAGCAGAGACAAAGUAUGCUGCAAAUUGCCUGCUCAUCUGUGUCCUUCACUGCCUGGAUUACUUCAUGAUGUUUACAUAGCAAAACAAACUAUAUAACAUCCCAGGGGCCCAAUGCUGCUGCCACAGAAUACCGGCACUUGUCACUUCCUUAGUCUGUGAAAAGGAAUCAAACCUACAUUGCAAAUGUCAUGCUUCAACCAGCACAUACAGCAGCGCAGAUGACCUUCAAGCAUGA